Molecule: long non-coding RNA, 5874 nt
Filed under: Jatropha curcas
Lineage: Eukaryota; Viridiplantae; Streptophyta; Magnoliopsida; Malpighiales; Euphorbiaceae
Description: long non-coding RNA (JCUR_LNC000971)
Source: RNAcentral
CUCUGCAAGAAGCUAAUGGGUGCUCUAAUGGAAAGACUGAACGUGAAAGAAACAGACGAAAAGAAAGAAUCUUUACUAAUGGGUUCGAAAAGAAUUAACCUAAACUACUAUCCAAGAUGUCCAAAUCCUAAUCUCACAAUAGGCGUAGGUCGCCAUUCCGAUGUCUCUGCACUGACUUUUCUUCUGCAAGACGAAAUCGGAGGGCUUUUCGUUAGAGUAAACGAAGGAAAAGGAGAAGAAGAUGGAUGGGUUCAUGUUCCUCCUAUUGAAGGCUCACUUGUUAUCAAUGUAGGAGAUGCUGCAGAUAUUAAGCAACGGUCGAUAUAAGAGUAUAGAGCACUGUGUAAUUGCUAGUGGAAGCAAGAACAGAAUUUCUAUUCCUAUCUUUGUUAAUCCAAAACCAAGUGAUGUGAUUGGUCCUUUGCCUGAAGUUCUUGCAAGUGGAGAGAAGCCUAAAUAUAAAAACAUCCUGUAUUCUGAUUAUGUCAAGCAUUUCUUCAGGAAAGCUCAUGAUGGCAAGAAGACAGUCGGAUUUGCUGAAAUAUGAUAAAAUUUUCAUACUAUUAUUAUAUGCUGUAGUAACCCAAACAAUUUGAUUUUUUUUUUUUUUUUUUUUUUUGUUAUUAAUGUCUUUUAUCAGUGAAUUUUAUUUGUAUCUUUUUUUUUUUUUUCUUUCCUCCAUGUUCUGGAACUGUGUAUUACUGAACAAAUUAAGAGAUAUAUAAAGAAAAUUCAACAUUAUAAUAUUUAUUUCUGUAAAGAUAAUUUAUUUCUUAGCUAACUUACUAAUAAGAAUUUUUUUUUUUAUUUUUCAUAAAUAAAUAAACUACUUCUAUUCAAGAAUAUGUAGUUUAGUUUAGUUUAGUUGCUAAACUUGUUUCAAUAAUUAAAAUAAUAUCGGCUUAGAUUAUAAUUACAAAAGAAAUUCAAAGGAAAAAAUUCAAAAUAAAAAUCUAACAAACUCAAAGUGGAAGAAAUAGAGAAAGAAGAAAUUUACAUAAUAUUCAAAGGAUAAAUAUUUUUCCAAAUAAUAAUAAUAAUAAUAAUAAUUCAGAGGAAUAUAUAGUUGACUGUGGUCGUACAUUUAUGCAACUUUUCCGAGGCGGCUCAUAAGGCCAACCCAUGGGUCGAUUUCACGAAUUGAUCGUCUCUAAUAAAUUGAUAAUCAGGACUUAGUUAUUACUAAGAACGACUAAUUAACUUAUUUUGACUAAUUAACUUAUUUAUCUCAGAAAAUACUGUUAAUGAUAUGCUCUAAUUGAUUUCAUAAUUUAACCCAUGAUUAUUCUUUAUUAAUAUCCUACUAAAAAAAUUAUACGUGCAAAAUUUGGUUACAAGAGUAAAUUAUUUAAUUGAGUAACACCUAAUUAAGUAAGAUUUGAAGAUCCAUAAUGAAUCAAUAGAGUUACUUAAAUUGAAUGAAUUAAUUUAAAAGUUACAAAUAGUAUUUUCAAUGUAAGAUCGGAUUAAUGCAAGUGUUAAUAUAACUAUUUAAUUUUUUUUUUUUUAUACUUGCACGAGAUCCAGGCUCAUGUACAUUUUAACAGUCCACAAAUUUGAUUAAUUUUUACUCGCUAGGAGGUAAUAACGAUCCACCAUGCAAGUGCUUUUUGCCACAAAGCUACCUUAAUUCAAGCUAAUAUAACUUUAUAAUUUUAAAAUUAAAUUAUCCUUCACUAAUUAUCAAUGGAAAUCUAUUUGCGCUAAAUGCUGAAUUUCUAAGAGAAAAUAAUAUAAGAAUAUUUAUUUAAUAAGUAAAUUGAUCGAACCAAAUUAAAUUAGCUACUGAUUGAUAUGAAAAGUUUCAAAAUAUAACUAAUUGAGAAUUCUAUUAGCUAUCAACGCUGCUGAUUAAAAAGUUUAUAUCAAACAUCUAUAACUUAACUGUUUAAUAUGAAUGAUUUAUUAGUUACAUGAAUCAGUUGAAUAAAAUAAUAGUUUAAUUAUAUGAGCCAAAUUAAUAAGACAUAAGAUGGAAUUUGGAAUUUUUUUUUUUUUUUGAAAAAAAAAUCAGAUAAAUUUGAAAAUAUUUCAAAGUUUUUUAUUUUGUCGAUAUUUAUUAAAAGAUUAGGUAGAAAUUAAUUGUUUUCCAUAUCUUCUAAUAAGUGAUGUUAGAGCUAGAAUGAAAUUUUAGUAUUUUUUUUUAAUAUAAAAAAUGUUUAUGCAUGACAAUAUUGCUUUUGAAUUUUAAAGUCUUAUUGUAUCAAUAGUGAAGUAAUUCAAUAUUAUAUCUGUCUUGUAAAAUAAUAAAAAAAAGUUCAAAAUCUUAUUUGUUCAUCAAUUAAAGUGUUUUUUUUAUUCAUUUUAUCUUAUUUAUUCACAAUAUUAAUUUCAAUUGGAUAAAUGAUACUCCCUAUCUUUAUGUAAAGAAUAACUGGAUAUUUGUUCCAUUUUAUAGAUAAUCUAUCCAUAAACAAUAUUAAUUGAUCUGUUAAUUGAGGGAGAGCCAAUUCAUACAAUGAGAUUCAAACUGAAGCAUUAAUUAUGCGAUUUACAACCAAAAAUGGAGGGAAGGAGUGAGAUAAUGCAUUAAACUCUGAAAAAUUUUCAAAUAUAUGUGCGCAAAUGUAAUGAAAAUGUGGAGCCAAAAUUUUUAUUAUUCUCACUAUUUCUUCAACUUCUACAAUAUGCCCAUAUGUAAAUUUAAAACAAGACACAAAUGUGUAAUUGCAUUCACAAGCUUUUCAAAAAAAGGUUAAUAGAAGGAAAGCAACAAUAAUUGUUGUAACAUGAAUCCAUCAUUUUCAUUUUAUCUUAAUGACAUUCCAAUCAAUUCGCCAAAUAUUCUCAAGAUAUGGCCACAACUUUCUAACCGCUAAAUUUAAACUCUUUAUUGAUGAAGAACAAAGCAUUGUGGUUGUUCUUGAAAUUAGUUAAUCCCAAAAUAUUGUUGCACGAAAACAUAUACUUUAUGAUGUAAAAAAUUAUAGGAGCACCAUACUUUUUACUAAGUUACAACAAGAUAACCUAAAUGUGUAAUUAUGAAAAAGUUGUGGCCACAUUUAGUAUAUUUUUUAAAGUCAAUUUAUAUAUGUAUGUAUCGCCCCACAUUUUAUUUGAAGAACAUGAGUAUAAAUUUUUAUCAAUGCUCAGUUAAAUUAUAAAAUUACAUUAAGUUAGUCGGAAUUAACGAAAUUCAUGUACAUAUUUACAAGGGGUAAUAUUAACAUAAAAUGAUCUUUUAAUACAAGGGUGUAACCUUCUAAUUGUGCAUCCAUAUUAUAGAAAAUUACACAACUUGUCACUUAUAUUUGUGCUCACAUUCAUAAAAGUACAUUGUUAAAAUUGAGUACACUUUAAAAGUACACAGAAAAUAGUAAUUUAGUCAUACUAUGAAAACACAAGUACAAUAAAUAUCAUUCCUUUUUUGUCUAUCACUUUUCUUAUUCAGUGAGCAAUUUUCACAUGGAUAAAAGAGCUCACAUAUAAUGGUAUUUUGAACUUUUUCAUAGGGCAUCAUUUUCAAAGUUUAGAUGUAAAGUAAAAUCAUUAUAUAUAUAUAUAAAGGAAAAUCGUUGAUUUUUGUUGAGGGUUGACAAGACACUUCCUUUGAAAAGAGAGAGACUUUUUAAGAUUUGAGUAUUUAAUUAACUAAUUUGAGGAAAGUGAGGAAAAAAUUGUAGGUUUUUGAAGAAAAAAUAUGUUGCUCUUUUAAAAUUCUCUCUAAUUUAUGAGACAGUUUUUAAUACAAUGACUUUUAGUAUUAUUUCUUAUUAAUUCUUUAUGAGUUUGAUAAGCAUUGCAUCCUUUCAAGUAUUUCAUGAUGUAUGUUUUGAAUUUGAUAGGAUAGUCUUUCAAUAACAUAUAUAGAUUGGCUACGAAAGUUCUAAGCAUUGUUAGAUAGUUCAUUGGAGUCUCCAAAUCAAAAUCUAGGUAUUUUAAAUGAGUUUCUUAACAUUUUUUUCAGUUAUUUGAUUAUUGCCUACAUAGUUGUUCUCAAACAUUGAUCAAUCCUAUAAAUAGAAGCACUCAUUAUAUAUUUUGUACUUAACUAAUUAUUAAGUCAACUUUUUUAUUUAAAAUAACCAUAUUGGUCUUAAAUUGUGCAUUCUUAAAAGUUAAAACCAUUUCACCUUCUAAAUGAUGAUUUGUUCAUAAAUUAGCCUAAAAUAAUAUUUCAUAAAAAAAUCAGAACAAAUACAUAUAAAUGGACAAAAAAAUGUAUUACUAAAAAAUAUAUAAGAAAUGAAUUGAAAUAAAUAAAGUAAUAGCUUUUAACCUUUUAUCUAAUUUUGAUUUUCUAAAUUUAUUACUUAUAUUUCUUACUUAUCCUUCAUAAUUUUUUCAAAUUUAUUUAUUCUACGCUUAAAUAAUUACUCCAAGAAUAUAUAAGUCCUUAUUAAUUUUUCCAUCAGUAUUUUCUCUACUUCAACUGGCCAUAUAUAAAAACUAGAUUCUUUUUCUUUUUAGAUUUAUUGCAUGAAUCCGUCAUUCUUUAGUUAGAAUAAAAAUUUUCAUUUUUACACGAUACAUUUGAAUCAUACUAUCUAUACAUUGUAUACAUUUUAAUUUUUAACAGUUUAUUCAAUAUAUAUAUUUUACAUGUCAAAAAUAUUUACAUUACAUCGCAGGGUUAACCGCAUAGUUUUUAUGUAAAAGAAACACCAAACUCAGUAAGUUUUUCUGCAAGAAGAGAUCAAGGGAGUAGGAAGGAAGAAUUCUUAUAAGCUAAAUUCGAUGUAUCAGAUAGACUUUGACUAGUCAACUAUAGAUUGCUGGUCUUAAACACGUACAAAUGCAAUUAAUUCAAAAAUUAGAAAAAAAAAGAGGUAAAAUUUGAAGAGGGCAGGAAAUUGCACGUAUAGUGGGUUGGUGAGACAAGCCUAAUUAAAUAAAAAGAUAGAUAAAAUAAAUAAACAACUAAAACAGAAAUUCACAUGUGUUUUAAUCAACGAAGAGAAGCUAUAAAUAGCAAUGGAUAAUACACUGAUUGUCACCGCCUCUACCAUUUUCAUUCUCUUCUUCCUUCAAAUACUAAUAUUAAGAGCUAUUAUUCUCACUUACAUUCAUUUAGUUGAAGUAAAAAUGGCCCCAACAAUGUCUACUGACUCCUUUAAUCUUACUGAUUUUGUGAUUAACAAAGGAAAUGGAGUGAAGGGGCUUUCAGAUUUGGGUCUCAAAAGCCUUCCAAAGCAAUAUAUUCAACCCCAAGAAGCGUUGAUUAAUAUUAUACCUCAUGAAUCAAUUCCUGUUAUUGACAUGUCCAAUUGGGAUAGUGACCCUAAAGUUGCUGAGUCCAUUUGUGAUGCUGCAGAGAAGUAUGGGUUCUUCCAAUUGGUUAACCAUGGAGUCCCACUUGAGGUUCUUGAUGGUGUUAAGGAUGCGACACAUCGUUUCUUUGGGUUACCAGCUGAAGUUAAGAGGAAUUACUCCAAGGAGCUUUCUUCUACUAAUAAUGUCAGGUUUGGUACAAGCUUUAGCCCUGAUGCUGAGAAAGCACUUGAAUGGAAAGAUUAUCUUAGCCUUUUUUAUGUCUCUGAAGAUGAAGCUUCUGCUUUGUGGCCUUCUGCUUGCAAGUAAUUAUUUUUAAACUCAACUGAACUCUGCUUUAUUUAUUUAUUCUUCUUUUCUUGAGUCAGCUUAUGCUUCGAACAAAUUUACUAACAAACUAAUACUAAUUGUUGAUUUUCUGGUACAGGGAUGAAUGCUUGGAAUACAUGAAAAGAUCAGAAAUCCUCUGCAAGAAGCUAAUGGGUGCUUUAAUGGAGAGAUUGAACGUGAAAGAAAUAGACGAAAAGAAAGAAUCUUUACUAAUGGGUUCGAAAAGAAUUAACCUAAACUACUAUCCAAGAUGUCCAAAUCCUAAUCUCACAAUAGGCGUAGGUCGCCAUUCUGAUGUCUCUGCCCUGACUUUUCUUCUGCAAGACGAAAUCG